RNAcentral lists this unclassified non-coding RNA (334 nucleotides) under Acacia cognata. RNAcentral describes it as "partial external transcribed spacer". The record is from RNAcentral. Lineage: Eukaryota; Viridiplantae; Streptophyta; Magnoliopsida; Fabales; Fabaceae.
CCGCGUCGGUCGUGCGAGGUGGUAUGGUUCCCCAGAGGCCGGUUCUUGUGCUGCCUACCCCUUCAAGGGAAGCGGGCCACUUGAUGUAAGCCUUCCAUCCGGCGCCUUCCAAUGGGCGCAGGAGAACAACAGAGCACCCCCCGCGUUCCACCGAGCCUUCUCGGUCGCGUGGCCCGCGGGGACGUGCGAUGCUCUCGGACCCAGCGAACGCCGUGGGCGAGGACUCACGUCCCAGUCCCGAAAAUAAGCUCCGAUAUAAUGCUGACGGCCGCUCCCGCCCCCCGACCGCCACGGCGGCGCGGGGCGAGGCGCGCGUCGCAGAGGAAUGCUACCU